AUGGGUAUAUGCUCUUCAUUAGGAAUCGAAUUAACUUGAAUUGCAUCGGAAACGAGAAAUCUCGUGUUGUGAAAACGUUGAGAGCAGGAAAAAAUUAGACCGACAACGGUUAGCGGAAUAGUAUAUAACAGGUAACAUGCAUGUGUAGCUAGUGUAGUCGCAAAACUUGAUUAAAGGCGCACAGAAUUGUAACUACUGAAAAUGAAGCGCUUGAUUUUAAUCGCUGUUUGCGGCCUUCUCAUCUCUAAGCUUAUCAAAAAUUGCGAUGGAGUAGUAGCGGGAAAGGAAAAGCAAAUAUACGGAAAACGCAACAUGUUCAAAAGGGCUGAGGUAGCGGCGAGAGAAGCCUGUGAACGAGCUAAACAAAUGACGGACGUGUACAGACGAAGUUUCCUUGAAGACGACUCCGAACCAGUCUCCCCCAAUCAUAUCCGAUGAAUCAUGGACAAAAUAAAGCAGUUUAUGAUGAUAAAUAUGUAAACAUAAUAAAAUUCGUGAUGUAAUAUACACAAACGAAUAAUAUAGAGAAACAAACUAAAAAAAAAAAAUGUAAAGAUAAAGGAUAUGGAAAAUUAAAGUGGUUAACUUAUAAA
This is a long non-coding RNA of Nematostella vectensis (starlet sea anemone), 593 nucleotides long. RefSeq lists it as uncharacterized. NCBI's taxonomy places the organism in Eukaryota, Metazoa, Cnidaria, Anthozoa, Actiniaria, Edwardsiidae. The record is from RefSeq and is a predicted model, not a curated record. The transcript is spliced from 2 exons.